RNAcentral lists this transfer RNA (74 nucleotides) under Elusimicrobiota bacterium. RNAcentral's name for it is "Elusimicrobia bacterium (anaerobic digester metagenome) tRNA-Gln". It matches the Rfam family "tRNA". Rfam says of the family: Transfer RNA (tRNA) molecules are approximately 80 nucleotides in length. The record is from RNAcentral. RNAcentral also lists the same sequence under 1 other name. Lineage: Bacteria; Pseudomonadati; Elusimicrobiota.
UGGGGGAUCGUCUAAUGGUAGGACACGAGACUCUGGCUCUCGGUGUCUAGGUUCGAGUCCUAGUCCCCCAGCCA